UGGUGGCCAUGGCGGGGAGGCAACACCCGUUCCCAUUCCGAACACGGAAGUGAAGGGCCCCAGUGGCGAGGGUACUGCGGCAAUCGGCCGCGGGAGAGUAGCGCGC
RNAcentral lists this ribosomal RNA (106 nucleotides) under bovine gut metagenome. The record is from RNAcentral.